Molecule: ribosomal RNA, 752 nt
Filed under: uncultured Actinomyces sp.
Lineage: Bacteria; Bacillati; Actinomycetota; Actinomycetes; Actinomycetales; Actinomycetaceae
Description: bacterial SSU rRNA
Rfam family: Bacterial small subunit ribosomal RNA
Source: RNAcentral
GACGAACGCUGGCGGCGUGCUUAACACAUGCAAGUCGAACGCUGAAGCCUAGCUUGCUGGGUGGAUGAGUGGCGAACGGGUGAGUAACACGUGAGUAACCUGCCCUCUUCUUUGGGAUAACGCCCGGAAACGGGUGCUAAUACUGGAUAUUCACUGAUCUUCGCAUGGGGGUUGGUGGAAAGGUUUUUUCUGGUGGGGGAUGGGCUCGCGGCCUAUCAGCUUGUUGGUGGGGUGAUGGCCUACCAAGGCUUUGACGGGUAGCCGGCCUGAGAGGGUGACCGGUCACAUUGGGACUGAGAUACGGCCCAGACUCCUACGGGAGGCAGCAGUGGGGAAUAUUGCACAAUGGGCGAAAGCCUGAUGCAGCGACGCCGCGUGAGGGAUGGAGGCCUUCGGGUUGUAAACCUCUUUCGCUCAUGGUCAAGCCGCAGCUUUGGGUUGUGGUGAGGGUAGUGGGUAAAGAAGCGCCGGCUAACUACGUGCCAGCAGCCGCGGUAAUACGUAGGGCGCGAGCGUUGUCCGGAAUUAUUGGGCGUAAAGGGCUUGUAGGCGGUUGGUCGCGUCUGCCGUGAAAUCCUCUGGCUUAACUGGGGGCGUGCGGUGGGUACGGGCUGACUUGAGUGCGGUAGGGGAGACUGGAACUCCUGGUGUAGCGGUGGAAUGCGCACAUAUCACGAAGAACACCGGUGGCGAAGGCGCGUCUCUGGGCCGUUACUGACUCUGAGGAGCGAAAAGCGUGGGGAGCUAACAGG